UACGUAGGGUGCGAGCGUUAAUCGGAUUUACUGGGCGUAAAGCGUGCGCAGGCGGCCCGUUAAGACAGGUGUGAAAUCUCUGGGCUCAACCUAGGAUUUGCGCUUGUGACUGGCGGGCUCGAGUACGGUAGAGGGGGGUGGAAUUCCUGGUGUAGCAGUGAAAUGCGUAGAGAUCAGGAGGAACACCGAUGGCGAAGGCAGCUCCCUGGGCCUGUACUGACGCUCAUGCACGAAAGCGUGGGGAGCAAACAGG
This 253-nucleotide ribosomal RNA is filed under the name uncultured microorganism. RNAcentral describes it as "partial 16S ribosomal RNA". It matches the Rfam family "Bacterial small subunit ribosomal RNA", at positions 524 to 776 of the family's 1533-position model. The record is from RNAcentral.